GACGAACGCUGGCGGCAAGCUUAACACAUGCAAGUCGAACGCCGUAGCAAUACGGAGUGGCAGACGGGUGAGUAACGCGUGGGAACGUGCCUUUCGGUUCGGAACAACCGAGGGAAACUUCAGCUAAAACCGGAUACGCCCUUCGGGGGAAAGUUUACGCCGAAAGAUCGGCCCGCGUCAGAUUAGCUAGUUGGUGGGGUAAUGGCCUACCAAGGCGACGAUCUGUAGCUGUUCUGAGAGGAAGAUCAGCCACACUGGGACUGAGACACGGCCCAGACUCCUACGGGAGGCAGCAGUGGGGAAUAUUGGACAAUGGGCGCAAGCCUGAUCCAGCUAUGCCGCGUGGAUGAAGAAGGCCUUCGGGUUGUAAAGUCCUUUCGGUGGUGAAGAUAAUGACGGUAACCACAGAAGAAGCCCCGGCUAAUUUCGUGCCAGCCGCCGCCGUAA
This 447-nucleotide ribosomal RNA is filed under the name uncultured bacterium. RNAcentral's name for it is "partial 16S ribosomal RNA". It matches the Rfam family "Bacterial small subunit ribosomal RNA", at positions 28 to 523 of the family's 1533-position model. The record is from RNAcentral.